GGCGAACGGGUGAGUAACGCGUGAGGAACCUGCCUCAAAGAGGGGGACAACAGUUGGAAACGACUGCUAAUACCGCAUAAGCCCACGACCCGGCAUCGGGAAGAGGGAAAAGGAGCAAUCCGCUUUGAGAUGGCCUCGCGUCCGAUUAGCUAGUUGGUGAGGUAACGGCCCACCAAGGCGACGAUCGGUAGCCGGACUGAGAGGUUGAACGGCCACAUUGGGACUGAGACACGGCCCAGACUCCUACGGGAGGCAGCAGUGGGGAAUAUUGCACAAUGGGGGAAACCCUGAUGCAGCGACGCCGCGUGGAGGAAGAAGGUCUUCGGAUCGUAAACUCCUGUUGUUGAGGAAGAUAAUGACGGUACUCAACAAGGAAGUGACGGCUAACUACGUGCCAGCAGCCGCGGUAAAACGUAGGUCACAAGCGUUGUCCGGAAUUACUGGGUGUAAAGGGAGCGCAGGCGGGAAGACAAGUUGGAAGUGAAAUCCAUGGGCUCAACCCAUGAACUGCUUUCAAAACUGUUUUUCUUGAGUAGUGCAGAGGUAGGCGGAAUUCCCGGUGUAGCGGUGGAAUGCGUAGAUAUCGGGAGGAACACCAGUGGC
RNAcentral lists this ribosomal RNA (603 nucleotides) under uncultured bacterium. Its description in RNAcentral is "bacterial SSU rRNA". It matches the Rfam family "Bacterial small subunit ribosomal RNA", at positions 97 to 716 of the family's 1533-position model. The record is from RNAcentral.